This 467-nucleotide ribosomal RNA is filed under the name uncultured bacterium. RNAcentral describes it as "partial 16S ribosomal RNA". It matches the Rfam family "Bacterial small subunit ribosomal RNA", at positions 28 to 507 of the family's 1533-position model. The record is from RNAcentral.
GACGAACGCUGGCGGCGUGCUUAACACAUGCAAGUCGAACGGAAAGGCCCUGCUUUUGUGGGGUGCUCGAGUGGCGAACGGGUGAGUAACACGUGAGUAACCUGCCCUUGACUUUGGGAUAACUUCAGGAAACUGGGGCUAAUACCGGAUAGGAGCUCCUGCUGCAUGGUGGGGGUUGGAAAGUUUCGGCGGUUGGGGAUGGACUCGCGGCUUAUCAGCUUGUUGGUGGGGUAGUGGCUUACCAAGGCUUUGACGGGUAGCCGGCCUGAGAGGGUGACCGGCAACAUGGGACUGAGAUACGGCCCAGACUCCUACGGGAGGCAGCAGUGGGGAAUAUUGCACAAUGGGCGGAAGCCUGAUGCAGCAACGCCGCGUGCGGGAUGACGGCCUUCGGGUUGUAAACCGCUUUCGCCUGUGACGAAGCGUGAGUGACGGUAAUGGGUAAAGAAGCACCGGCUAACUACGUG